GAUAAACGCUGGCGGCGCACAUAAGACAUGCAAGUUGAACGGACUUAAUCGAAAUAUUUCUAUUUUGAAGCGGUUAGUGGCGGACAGGUGAGUAACGCGUAAGGAACCUGCCUAUUAGAGGGGAAUAACAGUGAGAAAUCAUUGCUAAUACCGCAUAUGCCAUAGAUAUCACAUGAUAACAGUGGGAAAGGAGCAAUCCGCUAAUAGAUGGCCUUGCGUCUGAUUAGAUAGUUGGUGGGGUAACGGCCUACCAAGUCGACGAUCAGUAGCCGGACUGAGAGGUUGAACGGCCACAUUGGGACUGAGAUACGGCCCAGACUCCUACGGGAGGCAGCAGUCGGGAAUAUUGCGCAAUGGAGGAAACUCUGACGCAGUGACGCCGCGUAUAGGAAGAAGGUUUUCGGAUUGUAAACUAUUGUCGUUAGGGAAGAGAAAGGACAGUACCUAAGGAGGAAGCUCCGGCUAACUACGUG
RNAcentral lists this ribosomal RNA (473 nucleotides) under uncultured bacterium. RNAcentral describes it as "partial 16S ribosomal RNA". It matches the Rfam family "Bacterial small subunit ribosomal RNA", at positions 28 to 507 of the family's 1533-position model. The record is from RNAcentral.